Conger conger (European conger) is the source of this 1751-nucleotide long non-coding RNA. RefSeq lists it as uncharacterized. The transcript has 3 exons. NCBI's taxonomy places the organism in Eukaryota, Metazoa, Chordata, Actinopteri, Anguilliformes, Congridae. The record is from RefSeq and is a predicted model, not a curated record.
AACAGUCAGGAUGCAGUGGAUGUUAGUCGCGUGCGUCUGUUGUGACGCCGGUCCCUUUAAGCGGUUUGUUCUGUUGUAAAAUGGCGGCUCGUUAGUGUGUGUUGACCUCAGGUGUGCGAUGCGUGAAGUCUUAAUGAACAGGUGUAUGGCCUCGGCCUCGGUUUUGUCAGUAGCCUACAGGGGAGUCUGGUGUGGAAUCGGUGGUGGUGUGGGCCCCGGGGUGCUGGAUCUUGUGGCAGUGUGAGGAGGGGGGGUGUUUAUGUGUUGUUCCCAGGCUUCUGGCAGUGCUGGGUUGUGGGUGAACUGGGCAGAACUGUGGUAGCAGGACAAGAUGUCUGUCAGGAUGGUGUGGUGAAGUGUGGUGUCUGUGUUGGAGCUGUGCAUUUUUUCCUCUUAUCAGCUGUGCUGAGGGUAGGUAACUGUGAUGCAACCAAAAAUGGGAGUAGUUGUUGUCGUCGUUGUUGUACUAAAAGUGAGGUUGUUGACAUGUUGAAGGUCAUGUUUUGAACGGUUGUAAGAAGUUGCUUAUGUGCAAGUCCCUGACGGUGUUAUGUCAUGUCAUUUUGAGUUUAAUUCCACAAAGAUGUAGCUUUAUUAGGUUAUUUAUCAGUGUUUAUUCAGCCACGGUCUGGUCCCUGUGUCGUGUUGUCUUUCCUGCAGUGCGGUGUCUUUUUUUGUCCACAGACUGUAUUCUGAACUGUACCACUUGUAUGUUUGUGUAUGUGCAGUAAGCACAGAUGGCCAGACACUGUCAGUAGUGUUGUCUGUAGUUGUGUUCUCCUCUGUGUCUGUAUGGAAGUGCUCCCUUUGAAUUGUGUCAGUGUUUGGGACUUGAAUGUGGUGGGCAAUGUGGGGUUUGAUUUGUGACAAAUAAAGGUGACUGUUGUACCCAGCAUUUUGGUCUGUGUGUUGUUGAUGCCUGUUGUUGAUUGGCCAAAUAACAAUUGUAGCAAUUGAUCAUGCACUGUUUAAUGUGUUUGUAGCAGGAAUAUGUCAAUGUGGUAAAGAAGCAACAACAUUAGAGUUUGAAAUGUUCACUGUUUGUUGAAUGAGUGAAAACAUUUGGGGUACAUGGCAGCAUUUAAGGUAAAAGUGAAGUUAUACUGUGUAUUCAGUUAUGACAAGUGGUUGCACUUGAAUAUUGGCUGAAUGUUGUUUUGGUUUAGGAAUGGACAGAGUAAAGCAUGUGUUAGUGAGUAAAAAAAACCAAACCAAAAAAAACCCACACAAAUAGACAUGAGCUGAAUCUUUGUAACUGGAAAAAAAUAGGUUUUUACCCAUGUUGAAGUUGUUUAGUUUAGCAGAAAUGGAAUCUUCCUGUGUGUGUGUGUGUGUGUCUCUCUGUGUUUUGUGCAUUUGAUUGCUGUUGUAUGUUAUCUGGCUGUUGUGGUUCUUUGUGCAGUGUGUUGCAGCAGUAUGACAUUGGUUUGAUUGCAGCUUACAGUGUGAUGUGAACAGUAAAUGGUUUCUGAAUGAGUUGUGCAGUAGUGGUUUAGUUUGGUUGCAGAAUAUAUCCUUGUGCUAUCUAUGUACCAGAUAAUUUGACUAAGUAAUUCAAAGAACAUUGUUGUAUACAGUUUGGUUUAUUUGUUAAGAUAUAUUGCACAUGUUUACUAACAAACAAAAUGACCUGUUGUAAUGUUUAUUAAUGUGAUGGCUAGGAUUGUAUGUAUUUGUCUCAAUGGCUGUAUCUAUCUCACCUGUGGUUGGUGAUUUUGUUAGGGAUAUGGUUUUGAAGUGCCUUCAGUGUC